GAAUCUUCCACAAUGGACGAAAGUAUGCUGGAGCAAUGCCGCGAGAGUGAAGAAGGUUUUCGGAUCGUACAUCUCUGUUGUGUGGGAAGAACAAGUAUGAGAGUUACUGCUCGUACCUUGACGGUACCUAAUUAGAAAGCAACGGCUAAUUACGUGCCAGCAACCGCGGUAAUACGUAGGUGGCAAGCGUUGUCCGGAAUGAUUGGGCGUAAGGCGCGCACAGGCGGUCCUUUAAGACUGAUGUGAAAUCCCACGGCUCAACCGAGGAAGGGCAUUAGAAACUGGGGGACUUGAGUACAGAAGAGGAAAGCAGAAUUCCAAGUGUAGCUGUGAAAUGCGUAGAGAUUUGGAGGAACACCAGUGGCGAGGGCGUCUUUCUGGUCUGUAACUGACGCUGGGGCGCGAAAGCGUGGGUAGCAAACA
This 423-nucleotide ribosomal RNA is filed under the name uncultured bacterium. RNAcentral's name for it is "partial 16S ribosomal RNA". It matches the Rfam family "Bacterial small subunit ribosomal RNA", at positions 359 to 774 of the family's 1533-position model. The record is from RNAcentral.